GGGAACCCGCGCCCCCUGCCGGUGCCCUCCCCGCCCGGCCCUAGCUCUCUCGCCUUCUCGCCCGCCCGGCGCUGGCCCUGCUGGAUCCUGCGCGCCGGGGACUGGGGGCUGGCAGUGCAGACCGAACCCGGGGCCGAGGGGCUUCUCCACAGAGCCGCCUGGGGCUCGGUGGGGGGCGCUCAGCUCGACCCCAGCUAAGGGAGCACUAGGAAGUGCGGGCGUCCCCUUCCCUGCACCCUUGCGGGGCGGGAACCGUCGACCUAGAAGAAAAAAAAAGCUGAGGCAAACUUGAUAUAAGUAGAGAGGUUAUUUGGGCCAAGUUUGAAGAUUGCAACCCGGGAGCAUAGCUUCAAGUUGCCCUGAACAUAGGAUUUGCAACUUUCGCAGAGGUGAGGCCAGAGAAGUGACAAGACAGAUGCCAGUCCAGCAGGUGGGCAUGUCCAGAAAGUGCAGCCUCAGGACACGGUCUGGGAACAAAGACUGCUGGAGAGUUGGAAGCUGGCAAGAGGCUCUCAGCUGUGAAGUACCUGGGGUGGGGGAGAAGUGGUCGGAGAAAGCAGAGGUAAGGUCUGUGCGUGGGAACUGAACUGAAAUCCACAGCUCUAUUACAAGGAAUUAAUCUGGUUACUAGAACCAGGGUAGAUGAUCAGACCAGGCAGGGCCACCAGUACCAUCCACCCAUUUUUCCUGAGAAAAGAAAAAUAGGGUAGUCUGAGCUCUGUGAGGUGUGCAGAAUGAUCAGGCCCAGAGAGGCAGGAGUGUGGGACUUCAUUCAGCGCCUCUUCCACCAUAGAAGCAACUGUCCAGGGCAAUUGUUUGAUGGAAUUUUUGCUCCUGACAGGCUGCCUCACCCAUUAUCUUCUUGUUCACAUGGAAUUAGUGAUGCUAAGAACGA
Molecule: long non-coding RNA, 895 nt
Filed under: Homo sapiens (human)
Lineage: Eukaryota; Metazoa; Chordata; Mammalia; Primates; Hominidae
Description: HSALNT0274167
Source: RNAcentral